CACCGGCCGUUCUCCAUCGACGUUCGCUCACAACCACCGCACGCUGUCGAGUGGGAUAGUUGCUGAGGAACAACAACCUCAACGUAAGAAAAUACCCGGUCUCCUACCUCACCUAUAUUUGCACGGGUAUUAAGACCUCCGACCCAAAUCUAGGAAGCUUGUCGUUUCGGCGAGGUAGCCAGUGGGUGUAUUGACAGAGGGAGCGUUUUAACUUCAAGUUGGUUGUUUGAGUGGAAUAUGCUGUGUGGUGUUUCAGAUUUUCGACUAUUUGGGUUCUUUUUAUUCUAUUUUGGGCAGGAUUUUGGAGUUUUGUUUAUGGGUCCUUUUUAUUUUUUAUUUUUUUGUUUCCUUCCUAUAAAUUAAAGAUGGAUUUUUACUUUGUUCAUAGCAACUAAAGACGUGUGGUUUCUCUGCAUAUGUCUGUCAAAUGAUUCAACCUCUAUAAUGGCCAAUGGUUUUCCCUACUUUUCAUAUUUGGUUGAUUUGUUCUAUUUUGAUAUUGGUUUGAGGACUUUCAGUCUGACAUAUAUGAGAACAUGUGAAUACAAUCGUGCUAAUUCAUUUGCAUAUUCAGAAUCUCAGAUUUCCCAGAAACUAUAAAUGCAGUAGUAGUUUUCGUUCUCAUUCUCCCCUUCAAUUUCCCUCUUUCCUCUCAUUCAGCAGGCAGCCCAGGCUGGGAGGAAAACCCAACACUCUGAAAGUGAGAGGCAUGCUUAUUUAAUCAGAUUGGUUAGAUAUGGAGGUUCGGAAGCGAUUGAAGAAGAAAUACAUGUGCCUACAAGAUGAAAAAGAAAGACUACAUGCUGCAAUUACGAAGAGCGACUCAAUGAAAAAAGAGAAUAGCAAGUGCAAGGAAACACAUGGAUAUGGAAGUUGCUCAAUGUCGAAUGCAAUUGGCGGUUGAAAAAGAAAAGUACCAAUCGAUGGAAAAACAAUAUCAAAUUGCUUUAGCCUUUGCAUUGGGUUUUUUUUUUUUAGCAUUAUAUGUUACAAUUCUUUUUAGUUGUAUGGGCAGCCAUAUAUUUUUGGGAAAAUUAUUUUAGUCGAUUUUUGUGGUAUAAAUAUUAUCUUAAAGAUCCUUUGGUAUUAUUUUGAAUAAAAUGGUCCCUAACUCGUCCACCCUCCA
Long non-coding RNA from Alnus glutinosa, 1126 nucleotides. RefSeq lists it as uncharacterized. The record is from RefSeq and is a predicted model, not a curated record. NCBI's taxonomy places the organism in Eukaryota, Viridiplantae, Streptophyta, Magnoliopsida, Fagales, Betulaceae. The transcript is spliced from 3 exons.